GAUGAAGAGGCGGCGAAAAAUAUGCAUAUACAUUAUGUGCAAAAAAGCGCGAACGUACCGAAAAUUGAAAUCGUACUCAAAAAUAUAUCAGAAUUAUAGCGAGUGAACGAUUUGAUGUGUGCGGGCUUUUAAGUGCAAUUAAAAACAAAGCUUGGAAAAUUAUAUAUUCAAACAAUUCGGUACGGUUCGUAUAUGUAGCCGUUCGCGCGCACAGAGCGCAGUCAUAUGCAAGCUUGUAACGAUCGUAGUUUGCCGAAAAAUAAGGAGACUCGAGAAUUCAUGCAGGAAACUAAGCAAGCUUGCGAUUAAGAAACUUUGGAUGGUGUAGAUUGCUCAAAGAUACCGUUGGCUUUGAAAGAGGCUUUCGAGUACUGUAAAGGCGAUGAUAACGAUCAAGAGGAGUACAAUAUCGACAUCGGCAGUACACCAUCUCAGCAAUUAGUUGAUGUUGUUCUUAAAGACCAAACAAUUGAAACGACUAAACGACUAAUAGUGUCGAUGGAGGUGAGAGACUAAGUAAAUUGCAUAAUAAUCGCUUGCGAACUGAUUUAAAACGAGGUGCGAGCGUGCGCCUCGGUUGCCAAUCUGCUACCAUCCGGAGACCAAUCCCCAUUCAAUUGUAGUUUUAUGGAAGCAGGAAAUAAGAAUUUAGGCGAUCCUGAGCCAAGUUUAAGUAUGAACAAUACAUUCGCAAUUGCAUUUGCCUUCGACCGCAACAAUUUUGGUACAAUGAACCAGUUUUAACAAACAUGG
Molecule: long non-coding RNA, 753 nt
Organism: Glossina fuscipes
Lineage: Eukaryota; Metazoa; Arthropoda; Insecta; Diptera; Glossinidae
Exons: 3
Source: RefSeq, a predicted model, not a curated record